AGCUCGGAGACCGGAUAAUGAAAUGGACACAAUAAGAUGAAAGGUGUCAAGUGGAGAUUUUCUGAUGACGUGGCACAUGAAGGUUAUCCUACGUGGGAUUUUCUCUACUUGGUAUUGGCAGAUAAGAUACAGAUGGUAUUUCUCUUUUGGCCUCAAAGAAAGAGAGAGAGGAGUCCAACUGUGACAGAAGAAAGAAAAUAAACCUCCGUACAUUGGAUCCACAAGUUCAUAUGUGACUACAUCCAUGGAUGGACAAAUAAUACUUGGAAGCAGUAAACAUAACAUGAAAAUGCAUUUAAUGAAGUGCCCCAAUCUUCUCAGCAGGUGUCGUAAAAUCAAUGGAGAACUCUACACCGUCACCCAUAUCUGGGCUUCUGUAAUAAUUGCUAAUUGGUUUUAUGGCCAGAACAGAGUUUGGAUAGAAAACCUUUUCAUUAUUAAG
Non-coding RNA from Cajanus cajan (pigeon pea), 442 nucleotides. Lineage: Eukaryota; Viridiplantae; Streptophyta; Magnoliopsida; Fabales; Fabaceae. The record is from RefSeq and is a predicted model, not a curated record.